AGUAGUUCCAGGGAAAAAAACUCCCGCCUGAUUUGUAUCGCAGCUGCACGAGGUUCCUUUUGAAGUUUUUUUGUGUUUUCCUACGGCGUGCGAGCUUCCAAUUGUUUUAGAUGUGGCAGCGUGGAAGCUGGUUGUUGUUUCGUUGAGGCGCGGCGGAAGCAUAUUCUUCCGAUUUUUUCUUCAUGCGAUUAUUCCGUUUUCCUGAUGGCAGCGCUAAUCUCUGCGGUGUCCGGCAGUUUUUUUUGCGUUGUGGAGCUAGAGGUGGCUCAAUGUUUUCUUCCUUGUAUUGAGAUUAACCGCUGGUGUUAAAGUCCUGUCGACAUCAGCUCGUGUGGAGGUCCUGUCGUAAAAAGAACGGAGGCGGAGGACUUCGCAACAGUAGGAACUCCUUCUUGCUGCAGCUGUUUUCGCCACUAGUCCUGCUGGCGGCUCGCGGAUUGUGCGUCGGCGAAGGCAUUGGCCUGUCUUGCUCCCUGUCUGGUGGAUCUAGUGUUAUCGACAUUGGCGGGUGCUGCAAUAAUUCCUAAUUCAAUCUAGCUCCGAGUUUGGCGGAAAUGUUGCAUGUUGUUUGGCUUGGCCAGCGAGGAGUGGCUUAAUCCGUAUCGACAUGUUCAGGGCAUCUUGCGGGACUGCUACAAAAUCAUUGUGGCGACACACAUAGACUUGUCCAUUUGCCAGGUUGUUAGUGUUGGAACAGGGGCUCUGGUGCGGCGAAGUGUACAUUGAAUUGUAGUGCAAGGUUGGUUGACAUUUAGUCGAAGAGAGGUCGAAGAAGUGGAGGAUGUCCUAAUCUACUUGGUGGUGAGUGUCAAGAGUUCAACUCCCGGAGGUUAGUAACGGCUCGAUUGGCAUUGUGGUGAGCAUUGCUAGAAUGGAGCUAUGUUGGCUGGCAUUUAACUUUAAUCAAGCGCUCUUUUGUCGUCUUGGCCACAAUUUUCUCAAGCAGUGAGAGCAAUGACAAUUGUAUUGCGUUGUUUUACUUAUCGCAUUUCUUUAUGCUCUUACAAGCAUUAUUGCUGAGCUCGUGUUAGUGAACUUCAAUUGUAGUGGUUAUCCGGGAAUAGUCGCGCUAAUCCAGUCUUGAUCAAGGCACCAAGUCAUCAUGUUGUUGAGAGAUUCUUGUACCGUGAUCUCUUAUUCCGUGAGGGUUGCUGCAGUGGAUGCCAGUUGUGUUCUAGUUCUAUUGCAGGUUGUGGUAGCACCGUCAAUUGUUAAUCCUUCGGUUUCUUCUUCAAUUGCUCUAAGGGGGUUAAAAUUAUGGUGGUUGUCAGCGUUGACUGUGCCAGCCUACGUGAGCGAUGCAGGUUGCUACUGAAGUUGCUGUGGAAUUCUAGAAGUGAUCGUUGUGCUGCGAAGUGCAAUUCGACUAUAUUGUCGUGCUCCUUGGUUUUUUUUAUUUUUCCUUCAGUAAAGUGUUCGUAGUGACUGAUGUACUUAGCGGUGUACUUGAGACGGAUCGUGUUGGGUCGAAGACGCACAUCACGGUGAAGCAGCGGAACCAGGUAGUGGUAAGUGGAUCGGAAGUGUUCACCGACGCCAACGGCUGUUUUGUUUCCAGCCUGUGUGGGAAGCGCUCCUAUAGCGGAACAGACUGCAACGUAGGGACCAAGCUGCCUUCAAGGAGCGUACUUCGUGGAUGAAGAAGGUGGACGAACAAGUGAACUUCUACACUAGGUGAAUUAGGUUAGAUUCAAUUGGAUUUAGGUUAAAAGAAUUUUAGGUUAAAACGGAUGAUUUUGUAUAUGGAUGAAAAUAUUAAUGCAUUAUAUGAAUAGCUUAAAUA
Molecule: non-coding RNA, 1783 nt
Organism: Physcomitrium patens
Lineage: Eukaryota; Viridiplantae; Streptophyta; Bryopsida; Funariales; Funariaceae
Source: RefSeq, a predicted model, not a curated record